RNAcentral lists this ribosomal RNA (406 nucleotides) under uncultured bacterium. RNAcentral's name for it is "partial 16S ribosomal RNA". It matches the Rfam family "Bacterial small subunit ribosomal RNA", at positions 29 to 526 of the family's 1533-position model. The record is from RNAcentral.
AUUGAACGCUGGCGGCAGGCUUAACACAUGCAAGUCGAGCGAGAGGCGGACGGGGGAGUAGUGUCUGGGAAACUGCGUGAUGGAGGGGGAUAACUACUGGAAACGGUAGCGAAUACCGCAUACUAAAAGAUGUGCCCAUAGGGGAUGUGCUAGGAGGUGGGGUAAUGGCUCACCUAGGCGACGAUCCCUAGCUGGUAUGAGAGGAUGACCAGCCACACUGGAACUGAGACACGGUCCAGACUCCGACGGGGGGCAGCAGUGGAGAAUAUUGCACGAUGGGGGAAAGCCUGAUGCAGCCAUGCCGCGUGUGUGAAGAAGGCCUUCGGGUUGUAAAGCACUUUCAGCGAGGAGGCGGUACUCGCAGAAGAAGCACCGGCUAACUCCGUGCCAGCAGCCGCGGUAAUAC